Long non-coding RNA from Anolis carolinensis (green anole), 510 nucleotides. RefSeq lists it as uncharacterized. The record is from RefSeq and is a predicted model, not a curated record. Lineage: Eukaryota; Metazoa; Chordata; Lepidosauria; Squamata; Anolidae. The transcript is spliced from 3 exons.
AAUGGGAAGAGAGGAUCAGCGGUGACAGCGGAAACACUCUGAGAGAGGGAGCCACCAAAGCAUUUCGGGAGUUGUAUUCUUGGCAUCGCGACGGGUGUUGAAGGGACGUUUGGAGGCGGUCCAACAAUUCGGUUUUCCCCUUUGAAAGAAGAACGGCCAAAACGGAGUCCUGUUUUAAUACUUCAAUCAUAUGGAGAGGACCUUCACUCCGUCGCACCAAGGUUUGGGUGGCUGCCCCCAGACUCUGGCACUCCCUCCCUGAGGAGACCAGCAUGGCUUCAUACCUGCUUGUAGGCAGGUAGAGACAUUCCUCUGCAACCAGAAUAUGUUCCUGAAAGGAUGAUGUUAUUGGACAUGUGCUAGUAGUAUAACUGGAACUUCUCUGAUCAACAGAAUAUUCUUCAACAGAGUCAACAGCUUAAGGGGAAGGAGCGUGUAGUUCACAUUAUCCUGUGUCAAUUAGGCUGUAGUCCAAUGUGUUACUUGGCAUUAAAAUCAAAUGAAUUUAAA